This is a long non-coding RNA of Apis dorsata (giant honeybee), 1380 nucleotides long. RefSeq lists it as uncharacterized. NCBI's taxonomy places the organism in Eukaryota, Metazoa, Arthropoda, Insecta, Hymenoptera, Apidae. The record is from RefSeq and is a predicted model, not a curated record. The transcript is spliced from 3 exons.
ACUUUUUAAAUUAUAAAUUUGAUUUGACUCACUUGAAAUAGGCGAAAGGUAUCACCCUGCAAUUAAUCGUUAUCAUUUGAUUGUUUCUUCGAAUACAGUUCAAAUUCCCAUCAUAUUCUCGGCCUUUGAUUAUAUGUUGCUCCAUUUGAAUAAAAUUAUCAUACAAAAUUAAAUCUGUAAUGUUUUUGCCCCAAAGUUCAUUAAUCCUGUAGCCUAAUAAUUUUUCACUAAUUUUAUUAGCAAACUGUAAAAGUAAAAAGAAAUAAGAGAUACUAAUAAAAUUGAGCCAAGAAAAAUUAUUUUGCCAAUUAUUGACCAAUCAAAAUAUAAGAAACAUAUCUUAUACGCACAAAUAUUGUAGCCCGCACGCACCGAUCGUUAUUCCAACACCUAAAUUGAUCAAAGCCCCAAUUAUUCACGAGCACGAGAAACAGAAGAAAAUUUAUUUUCCACCAGAUAAACGAAAUCGCAAAGGCUCGUUCGAUCUUGACACUGAAUCAUGCGACACUGAAGGCCAAGCUUUGAAAUCACACUUUGAAAACACGCUUUCUGCUCCCGACAUUCUUCGCUUUAUCUUAUCACAUCAGCCUCACCAACCAGAUCAAUUCAAUUCCAAAGAUUCCUACAUCCGAAAAUCACUCGAACAAUUCACAAUUUCACAAACUCCGCCCGAUUCUUUCGCUUCCUCGAUCAACCUUGAGUAACGUAACAUGAUAAAAACGUGUGUCGCGUGUGCAAAUUUACGAUUUGCUUGUUUGAAAGAGAGAGAAAGAGAGAGAGAUAACGAUGAAUGCAGAGAAUCGAGAGAAGAACUCGGUAAAUGUUAAGAAGAGGAGUGAAGAAACGUGUCUGAAUGAUCGAUCGGUUUGGACGUGGACCAAAGAAAUCGUCGGAUGAUGUCGAUCGCUGGCUCGAUUCUGAUCGAGAUCCCAUUUCAACAUUGGCUCUUGACGCUUCCCAGAAAGAUUUACGAGGUCGCCUGUUUCCUCCUCUGCUAUUUGACUUUUAUCAUUGUCUGCUAAUUUUCACUUGGGAAUAAUUAACGUCGCAAUUGUUUGGAUUUCGAGAUGCGAAAUUGGAAUUCAGGAUCGAUAAAUCGGUGUAAUGAUUAAAUCUGGUAUAAAUCUAUUGUUGAUCGAAAUUGAUAGAAAUGUUGUUGAGUUUUUGGUAGAAUUAUAAACGUGAUUUUAUAUAAGGAAAUUUUAUUACGAUGAAUGAUUUAAAAAACAAAUAUGAAUGUAUAAAAGUUGUAGAAGAAAACAUUUAUUUAAAAGUUAAAGAAAACUUGCCACCAAAUUCCCAGAUCGAAAGUAAAACAAUUCAUAAAAAUUCAUUCGAUUUAUCUCUGAUUGAAAUUUGAGAAAGAUUUUGUUCUAUUGA